AUGGCGUCCUCCAGCAAGGCCUGCGCCACCGCCACCCUCCUUCUGCUGCUGGCCCUCGCCGUCGCCACGGCUGCCGGCGCGUCGAAGCGGAGCAUCGCGUCGGAGGCGAAUCCGAGGCCGGUGGGGAAGGUCAUCGUGACGGAGCCCCUGGUCCCGACGUCAGCGCCGGCCGGCGCGGCGAAGCGCAGCAUCGCGUCGGAGGCCAACCCGAGGCCGGUGGGGAAGGUCAUCGUGACGGAGCCCCCGGUCCCGACGUCGGCGCCGGCCGGUGCGGCGAAGCGGAGCAUCGCGUCGGAGGCCAACCCGAGGCCGGUGGCGAAGGUCAUUGUGACGGAGCCCCCGGUCCCGACGUCGGCGGAGGUGGACGUUUCGGCGACGUGCGGUCGCUGCUGGAGCUGA
RNAcentral lists this ribosomal RNA (399 nucleotides) under Triticum aestivum (bread wheat). Its description in RNAcentral is "partial small subunit ribosomal RNA". Lineage: Eukaryota; Viridiplantae; Streptophyta; Magnoliopsida; Poales; Poaceae. The record is from RNAcentral.